This 479-nucleotide ribosomal RNA is filed under the name uncultured bacterium. Its description in RNAcentral is "bacterial SSU rRNA". It matches the Rfam family "Bacterial small subunit ribosomal RNA", at positions 30 to 502 of the family's 1533-position model. The record is from RNAcentral.
AUUGAACGCUGGCGGCAUGCCUUACACAUGCAAGUCGAACGGCAGCAUGGGUGCUUGCACCUGAUGGCGAGUGGCGAACGGGUGAGUAAUGCAUCGGAACGUACCCGGAAGUGGGGGAUAACGUAGCGAAGUUACGCUAAUACCGCAUAUUCUGUGAGCAGGAAAGCGGGGGAGUCGCAAGACCUCGCGCUUCCGGAGCGGCCGAUGUCGGAUUAGCUAGUUGGCGGGGUAAAGGCCCACCAAGGCAACGAUCCGUAGCGGGUCUGAGAGGAUGAUCCGCCACACUGGGACUGAGACACGGCCCAGACUCCUACGGGAGGCAGCAGUGGGGAAUUUUGGACAAUGGGCGCAAGCCUGAUCCAGCCAUGCCGCGUGAGGGAUGAAGGUCUUCGGAUCGUAAACCUCUGUCACCGGGGAAGAAACGCUAUGCGAUAAUAUCGCCUAGCCUGACUUAACCCGGAGAGGAGCAGUGGCUAACU